This 245-nucleotide ribosomal RNA is filed under the name uncultured Mangrovibacterium sp. Its description in RNAcentral is "partial 16S ribosomal RNA". It matches the Rfam family "Bacterial small subunit ribosomal RNA", at positions 524 to 768 of the family's 1533-position model. The record is from RNAcentral. Lineage: Bacteria; Pseudomonadati; Bacteroidota; Bacteroidia; Marinilabiliales; Prolixibacteraceae.
UACGGAGGAUGCAGGCGUUAUCCGGAUUUAUUGGGUUUAAAGGGUGCGUAGGCGGGACUGUAAGUCAGUGGUGAAAUCUUUCGGCUUAACCGAAAAACUGCCAUUGAUACUGCAAUCCUUGAGUACAGUUGAGGUAGGCGGAAUGCGUCAUGUAGCGGUGAAAUGCUUAGAUAUGACACAGAACUCCGAUUGCGAAGGCAGCUUACUAAACUGUAACUGACGCUGAGGCACGAAAGCGUGGGGAU